UGCGAUUUCAGACCGAAUAUUCAAUAUCGCGUGAAAAACAACAAAGGGACCGUGUCAAAAGUUCUCAGGUUGUUGAAAAACGAACAAAAGGAAUUCAGCCAACUACUAUAACGGUUUUGAAAUCAUGGCCUGUGCACAUCAACAUCUGUGGACCCUGCAGAACAUGCAUGCAACCUGUGCCCUGCUGUUUUCCUUACCUCUGUCUUACCCAUUGUCUUAACUAAAUAUUGUAACACUGUCAUUUCUGUUUUUUCUGUUUAUGACAUGUUGUUGUACAUUAAACUAUCAUUAUAUCAUAAA
Molecule: non-coding RNA, 300 nt
Organism: Danio rerio (zebrafish)
Lineage: Eukaryota; Metazoa; Chordata; Actinopteri; Cypriniformes; Danionidae
Source: RefSeq, a predicted model, not a curated record